RNAcentral lists this ribosomal RNA (369 nucleotides) under uncultured phototrophic eukaryote. Its description in RNAcentral is "SSU rRNA". It matches the Rfam family "Bacterial small subunit ribosomal RNA", at positions 524 to 896 of the family's 1533-position model. The record is from RNAcentral.
UACGGGGGAUGCAAGCGUUAUCCGGAAUCAUUGGGCGUAAAGCGCCUGUAGGUUGUUUAUUAAGUCUGUUGUUAAAGACUAGGGCUCAACCCUAGAAAAGCAAUGGAAACUAAUAGACUCGAGUAUGGCAGGGGUAGAGGGAAUUUCUAGUGUAGCGGUGAAAUGCGUAGAUAUUAGAAAGAACACCGGUGGCGAAAGCGCUCUACUGGACCAUUACUGACACUCAGAGGCGAAAGCUAGGGUAGCAAAAGGGAUUAGAUACCCCUGUAGUCCUAGCCGUAAACGAUGGAUACUAGAUGUUGUGCAUUACGUACAGUAUCGUAGCUAACGCGUUAAGUAUCCCGCCUGGGGAGUACGCUCGCAAGGGUG